RNAcentral lists this ribosomal RNA (253 nucleotides) under uncultured bacterium. Its description in RNAcentral is "partial 16S ribosomal RNA". It matches the Rfam family "Archaeal small subunit ribosomal RNA", at positions 474 to 727 of the family's 1478-position model. The record is from RNAcentral.
UACCAGCACCCCGAGUGGUCGGGACGAUUAUUGGGCCUAAAGCAUCCGUAGCCGGUUUUACAAGUCCCCCGUUAAAUCCACCUGCUUAACAGAUGGGCUGCGGAAGAUACUAUAGAGCUAGGAGGCGGGAGAGGCAAGCGGUACUCGAUGGGUAGGGGUAAAAUCCGUUGAUCCAUUGAAGACCACCAGUGGCGAAGGCGGCUUGCCAGAACGCGCUCGACGGUGAGGGAUGAAAGCUGGGGGAGCAAACCGG